UACGUAGGUGGCAAGCGUUAUCCGGAUUUACUGGGUGCAAAGGGCGUGUAGGCGGGAUGGUAAGUCAGAUGUGAAAACUAUGGGCUCAACCCAUAGCCUGCAUUUGAAACUAUCGUUCUUGAGUGUUGGAGAGGCAGGCGGAAUUCCGUGUGUAGCGGUGAAAUGCGUAGAUAUUAGGAGGAACACCAGUGGCGAAGGCGGCCUGCUGGACGAUGACUGACGUUGAGGCUCGAAAGCAUGGGUAGCGAACAGG
Molecule: ribosomal RNA, 253 nt
Filed under: uncultured Oscillospira sp.
Lineage: Bacteria; Bacillati; Bacillota; Clostridia; Eubacteriales; Oscillospiraceae
Description: partial 16S ribosomal RNA
Rfam family: Bacterial small subunit ribosomal RNA
Source: RNAcentral